GGUGGCUCAGAGGUAGAGUUCUUGCUUUGCAAGCAUUAGGCCCUAGGUUCGAAUCCUCAGCACCA
RNAcentral lists this transfer RNA (65 nucleotides) under Dipodomys ordii (Ord's kangaroo rat). It matches the Rfam family "tRNA". Rfam says of the family: Transfer RNA (tRNA) molecules are approximately 80 nucleotides in length. The record is from Rfam by way of RNAcentral. Lineage: Eukaryota; Metazoa; Chordata; Mammalia; Rodentia; Heteromyidae.